Molecule: ribosomal RNA, 478 nt
Filed under: uncultured bacterium
Lineage: Bacteria
Description: bacterial SSU rRNA
Rfam family: Bacterial small subunit ribosomal RNA
Source: RNAcentral
AGGAUGAACGCUGGCGGCGGUGCCUAACACAUGCAAGUCGAACGGUUAAACCGGCUCGGCCGGAUAUAGAGUGGCGAACGGGUGAGUAACACGUGACCAACCUGCCCCCCGCUCCGGGAUAACCCAGGGAAACCUGCGCUAAUACCGGACGAUGCCGCAAGGGCGCAUGCCCCUCGCGGCCGAAGCCCAGGCGGCGGGGGAUGGGGUCGCGGCCCAUUAGGUAGACGGCGGGGUAACGGCCCACCGUGCCCGCGAUGGGUAGCCGGGCUGAGAGGCUGAUCGGCCACAUUGGGACUGAGAUACGGCCCAGACUCCUACGGGAGGCAGCAGUGGGGAAUUUUGCGCAAUGGGGGGCCAACCCUGACGCAGCAACGCCGCGUGCGGGACGAAGGCCUUCGGGUUGUAAACCGCUUUCAGCGGGGACGAUUAUGACGGUACCCGCAGAAGAAGCUCCGGCUAACUACGUGCCAGCAGCCGC